AUGAGGAAGGACUACUGUUUGACAGACUCCAUGCUAGUGUUACUCAAUUAUGGCACAAUAGUUCUGCAGGGCCAAAUAGCAAACAUUACUUACCCGUAUCUGCCUGUCUCUACAUUUCAAAAGGGAGAAGGAAAAAAUAUAUAUAGCUGCAAGCAGCCAUGUCAAGGUUCAAGCCCUAUGGCACCACAGCAAAUAUCUGUCACACAGCUUUUAUAUUUGCUUUCCUUCUUGAAAAGCUGUUGUCAACUUCCCUCCAUGUGGUGUGUACAUACUGUAGGGAAGGAAAAGGUCCAAAAUAGUGUUUUCAAUCAGAACCUAAGUAACACCCACCAAAUAUUUCUGAUCGAUAUUAUACAGGGGGUACCGGUACCAUACAUUGACUCGUUAACGUUACCCCCUGUAUAUAGCCUGCACAUUGACUCGUUAACGUUACCCCCUGUAUAUAGCCUGCACAUUGACUCGUUAACGUUACCCCCUGUAUAUAGCCUGCACAUUGACUCGUUAACGUUACCCCCUGUAUAUAGCCUGCACAUUGACUCGUUAACGUUACCCCCUGUAUAUAGCCUGCACAUUGACUCGUUAACGUUACCCCCUGUAUAUAGCCUGCACAUUGACUCGUUAACGUUACCCCCUGUAUAUAGCCUGCACAUUGACUCGUUAACGUUACCCCCUGUAUAUAGCCUGCACAUUGACUCGUUAACGUUACCCGCUGUAUAUAGCCUGCACAUUGACUCGUUAACGUUACCCCCUGUAUAUAGCCUGCACAUUGACUCGUUAACGUUACCCCCUGUAUAUAGCCUGCACAUUGACUCGUUAACGUUACCCCCUGUAUAUAGCCUGCACAUUGACUCGUUAACUUUACCCCCUGUAUAUAGCCUGCACAUUGACUCGUUAACGUUACCCCCUGUAUAUAGCCUGCACAUUGACUCGUUAACGUUACCCCCUGUUUAUAGCCUCGUUAGUGUUCCUUUAUUGGUGCUCUUUUACUUUGGUUCAUUUAGUAAAUAUUUUUCUUAA
RNAcentral lists this long non-coding RNA (1017 nucleotides) under Oncorhynchus kisutch (coho salmon). RNAcentral's name for it is "lncRNA (ENSOKIG00005047453.1)". The record is from RNAcentral. Lineage: Eukaryota; Metazoa; Chordata; Actinopteri; Salmoniformes; Salmonidae.